RNAcentral lists this ribosomal RNA (518 nucleotides) under uncultured bacterium. RNAcentral's name for it is "bacterial SSU rRNA". It matches the Rfam family "Bacterial small subunit ribosomal RNA", at positions 8 to 518 of the family's 1533-position model. The record is from RNAcentral.
AAGGUUCGAUUCUGGCUCAGGAUGAACGCUGGCGGCGUGCCUAACACAUGCAAGUCGAACGGACUUAAGACGCUGAUGAGGCUUCGGCGGAUUCUGUUUAAGUUAGUGGCGGACGGGUGAGUAACGCGUGGGCAACCUGCCUCAUACUGGGGGAUAGCAGUUGGAAACGACUGAUAAUACCGCAUAAGCGCACAGAGUCGCAUGACUCAGUGUGAAAAAACUCCGGUGGUAUGAGAUGGGCCCGCGUCAGAUUAGCUAGUUGGUAAGGUAACGGCUUACCAAGGCGACGAUCUGUAGCCGGACUGAGAGGUCGGACGGCCACAUUGGGACUGAGACACGGCCCAAACUCCUACGGGAGGCAGCAGUGGGGAAUAUUGGGCAAUGGGGGGAAAAACCCCCUGACCCAGCAACGCCGCGUGAGGGAAGAAGGUUUUCGGAUCGUAAACCUCUGUCCCAGGUGAAGAGGAAGAGACGGUAGCCUGGGAGGAAGCCCCGGCUAACUACGUGCCAGCAGCCGC